This 274-nucleotide ribosomal RNA is filed under the name uncultured bacterium. Its description in RNAcentral is "partial 16S ribosomal RNA". It matches the Rfam family "Bacterial small subunit ribosomal RNA", at positions 523 to 796 of the family's 1533-position model. The record is from RNAcentral.
AUACAGAGGGUGCGAGCGUUAAUCGGAAUUACUGGGCGUAAAGCGCGCGUAGGCGGCUUAUUAAGUCAGAUGUGAAAUCCCCGGGCUCAACCUGGGGACUGCAUCUGAUACUGGUAAGCUAGAGUUUUGGAGAGGGAAGUAGAAUUUCAGGUGUAGCGGUGAAAUGCAUAGAGAUCUGAAGGAAUACCAGUGGCGAAGGCGACUUCCUGGCCAAAAACUGACGCUGAGGUGCGAAAGCGUGGGUAGCAAACGGGAUUAGAAACCCUAGUAGUCC